This 486-nucleotide ribosomal RNA is filed under the name uncultured bacterium. RNAcentral's name for it is "partial 16S ribosomal RNA". It matches the Rfam family "Bacterial small subunit ribosomal RNA", at positions 30 to 507 of the family's 1533-position model. The record is from RNAcentral.
AUUGAACGCUGGCGGCGUGCCUUACACAUGCAAGUCGAACGGCAGCACGGGUGCUUGCCCCUGGUGGCGAGUGGCGAACGGGUGAGUAAUACAUCGGAACAUGUCCUGUAGUGGGGGAUAGCCCGGCGAAAGCCGGAUUAAUACCGCAUACGAUCCACGGAUGAAAGCGGGGGACCUUCGGGCCUCGCGCUAUAGGGUUGGCCGAUGGCUGAUUAGCUAGUUGGUGGGGUAAAGGCCUACCAAGGCGACGAUCAGUAGCUGGUCUGAGAGGACGACCAGCCACACUGGGACUGAGACACGGCCCAGACUCCUACGGGAGGCAGCAGUGGGGAAUUUUGGACAAUGGGCGAAAGCCUGAUCCAGCAAUGCCGCGUGUGUGAAGAAGGCCUUCGGGUUGUAAAGCACUUUUGUCCGGAAAGAAAUCCUUGGCUCUAAUACAGUCGGGGGAUGACGGUACCGGAAGAAUAAGCACCGGCUAACUACGUG